CCUACGGGAGGCUGCAGUGGGGAAUAUUGCACAAUGGGGGAAACCCUGAUGCAGCGACGCCGCGUGAGUGAAGAAGGAAUUCGUUAUGGAAAGCUCUAUCAGCAGGGAAGAAAAUGACGGUACCUGAGUAAGAAGCCCCGGCCAACAACGUGCCAGCAGCCGCUGUAAUACGUAGGGGGCAAGCGUUAUCCGGAUUUAACGGGUGUAAAGGGAGCGUAGUCGGCAGUGCAAGUCUGGAGUGAAAGCCGGGGGCUCAACCUCCGAACUGCUCUGGAAACUGUACGGCUGGAGUGCAGGAGAGGUAAGUGGAAUUCCGAGUGUAGCGGUGAAAUGCGUAGAUAUUAGGAGGAACACCGGUGGCGAAGGCGGCUUACUGGACUGUAACUGACGUUGAGGCUCGAAAGCGUGGGGAGCAAACAGGAUUAGAUACCCUUGUAGUC
This 440-nucleotide ribosomal RNA is filed under the name uncultured bacterium. Its description in RNAcentral is "partial 16S ribosomal RNA". It matches the Rfam family "Bacterial small subunit ribosomal RNA", at positions 338 to 795 of the family's 1533-position model. The record is from RNAcentral.